Molecule: ribosomal RNA, 838 nt
Filed under: uncultured bacterium
Lineage: Bacteria
Description: bacterial SSU rRNA
Rfam family: Bacterial small subunit ribosomal RNA
Source: RNAcentral
AGAGUUUGAUUCUGGCUCAGGACGAACGCUGGCGGCGUGCCUAAUACAUGCAAGUCGAGCGAGCUUGGCGACAUCAUUUCCCUGCUUGAGCGGCAUGAAGCUAAAUACCACCGAGCGGAUCACCGCUGAGGAACACGAGGGCUGCCGGACCCAGAAACUGGUAUCACACCUGCACCCCCAUGCGAAUGGCGGAUGACAACACGCCACUCUUGUAUAGAUUCUGAAAGAUGAUGCUGCUAUCUCUCUUGGAUGGACCGGCGAUGCAUCAGCUCACCGGUGAGGCAACGGCUUACCGGUGUAAUGAUACAACCCCCAGUUGAGAAACUGAUCCGCCGCCUUGAGACUGACACACGGCCCAAACUCCUACGGGAGGCAGCAGUACGGAAACUUCCACAAUGGACGAAAGUCUGAUGGAGCAACGCCGCGUGAGUGAAGAAGGGUUUCGGCUCGAAAAGCUCUGUUGGUAGUGAAGAAAGAUAGAGGUAGUAACUGGCCUUUAUUUGACGGUGAUUACUUAGAAAGUCACGGCUAACUACGUGCCAGCAGCCGCGGUAAUACGUAAGUGGCAAGCGUUGUCCGGAUUUAUUGGGCGUAAAGCGAGUGCAGGCGGUUCAAUAAGUCUGAUGUGAAAGCCUUCGGCUCAACCGGAGAAUUGCAUCAGAAACUGUUGAACUUGAGUGCAGAAGAGGAGAGUGGAACUCCAUGUGUAGCGGUGGAAUGCGUAGAUAUAUGUAAGAACACCAGUGGGGAAGGCGGCUCUCCGGUCUGCAACUCACGGUGAGGCUGGAAAGCAUGGGUAGCGAACAGGAUUAGAUACCCUGGUAGUCCAUCCCGUAAA